AGCAGCCGCGGUAAUUCCAGCUCCAAUAGCGUAUAUUAAAGUUGUUGCAGUUAAAAAGCUCGUAGUUGAAUUUCGGGAUCAAUUUAUCGGUCGUGCCAAUGGUAUGAACUGGUACAAUUGGUUUCUCCCUUCUGACGAAGCAUGAUGUCAUUAAUUUGGUGUCGUGGGGAAUCAGGACUGUUACUUUGAAAAAAUUAGAGUGUUUAAAGCAAGCAUUAGCUUGAAUACAUUAGCAUGGAAUAAUGAAAUAGGACGUUGACCCUAUUUUGUUGGUUUCUAGGAUUGACGUAAUGAUUAAUAGGGAUAGUUGGGGGCAUUAGUAUUCAAUUGUCAGAGGUGAAAUUCUUGGAUUUAUUGAAGACUAACUACUGCGAAAGCAUUUGCCAAGGAUGUUUUCAUUAAUCAAGAACGAAAGUUAGGGGAUCGAAGACGAUCAGAUACCGUCGUAGUCUUAACCAUAAACUAUGCCGACUAGGGAUCGGAUGAUGUUAUUUUUAAUGACUCA
This 505-nucleotide ribosomal RNA is filed under the name uncultured fungus. Its description in RNAcentral is "SSU rRNA". It matches the Rfam family "Eukaryotic small subunit ribosomal RNA", at positions 569 to 1078 of the family's 1831-position model. The record is from RNAcentral. Lineage: Eukaryota; Fungi.